CUGCUAGACACAGAGAAAAAUGACUGAUAAAUUGUCAAUACAGGAACAAAUGAAGAUGUGGGUGAUGCUGCUCUUCCUGGUAUCGAUGAUGCUCAUCCUGCCCAGUGAUGUAGGAUUUGGAAACCCACAUGAUGCCAAAGUUAUCCUGGCUCGCCUGAUGGGGAAACCCUGUGGUUGCCAGGGUGGAACACACUCAGUAUCUCCCUUUAGUGGAUGGGUCAUACAACAGGAAAAGUGUUGUUUUUAACGCCAAAAGAUCAGGAAUCAUUCAGGACAAGAUCAAAAGGCUUUAGGAGAACUUGGAGAGGAAACGGCAGGACCUCAGGGAAAACCUGCUGUGGACUGGCUUAAAAUGGCUUCUUAUCCUAUCUCCUUCCCCUGCUUGGGCAUCUCCUCCUCCUCCUCCCUAUCCUCACUAUCGGGCCCUGCAUGAUUAAUAAGGUCAUGCAAUUUGUUCGCCAACAGGUAGAGGAAGUACAACUUCAUUAGGUCAAAGUUCAUUAUCAUAGGCUCACUACUCAGGAGCCAGGCUCCUUGUGACUGGCAGUCCUCAUACAAGCAUCCCUCCUCUGCCCUCCACCUGACCAGUGACAGGCAACUUCUCAGAUAGACUGGGACAUCCUAAGAUAGGUCAUAGAAUAGUCCUUCAACGAGCUGGAUACAUGGUACUCAGGGACAGGUAAAGUUCCCAAUGGGGGACCACCUAAGACAGAGGCCAUGAUUUCGUACAAAAACAAGAGGGGGAGAUGUUGGGCCUAAGAAAGGCUUGGAUGCUAGGCCCAGUGUAAUCUCCUGAGCCUGACUUGAGUUUGGGCUCAGAUGUGAGGCCCAGUGUAACCUUAUGAGCCUGACUAGAAUUUAGUGACCUGUCUCUAACCUGUAACCUCCACGUGGGGGUGACUCAGCCAGAUCUGAUGCAAGAUUGCCCCCUG
This is a long non-coding RNA of Mesocricetus auratus (golden hamster), 932 nucleotides long. RefSeq lists it as uncharacterized. NCBI's taxonomy places the organism in Eukaryota, Metazoa, Chordata, Mammalia, Rodentia, Cricetidae. The record is from RefSeq and is a predicted model, not a curated record. The transcript is spliced from 3 exons.